RNAcentral lists this transfer RNA (87 nucleotides) under Candidatus Saccharimonadota bacterium. RNAcentral's name for it is "tRNA-Leu". It matches the Rfam family "tRNA". From Rfam's summary of the family: Transfer RNA (tRNA) molecules are approximately 80 nucleotides in length. Their secondary structure includes four short double-helical elements and three loops (D, anti-codon, and T loops). The record is from RNAcentral. Lineage: Bacteria; Candidatus Saccharimonadota.
GGGCGAGUGGCGGAACUGGUAGACGCGCUAGACUCAAAAUCUGGUUGUAGCAAUACAGUAAGGGUUCAAGUCCCUUCUCGCCCACCA